ACGGGUGAGUAACACGUGGGCAACCUACCUUAUCGACUGGGAUAACUCCGGGAAACCGGGGCUAAUACCGGAUAACAUCUAGCACCUCCUGGUGCCGGAUUAAAAGAGGGCUUCUUGCUCUCACGAUGAGAUGGGCCCGCGGCGCAUUAGCUAGUUGGAGAGGUAACGGCUCCCCAAGGCGACGAUGCGUAGCCGACCUGAGAGGGUGAUCGGCCACACUGGGACUGAGACACGGCCCAGACUCCUACGGGAGGCAGCAGUAGGGAAUCUUCCGCAAUGGACGAAAGUCUGACGGAGCAACGCCGCGUGAGUGAUGAAGGGUUUCGGCUCGUAAAGCUCUGUUAUGAGGGAAGAACACGUACCGUUCGAAUAGGGCGGUACCUUGACGGUACCUCAUCAGAAAGCCACGGCUAACUACGUGCCAGCAGCCGCGGUAAUACGUAGGUGGCAAGCGUUGUCCGGAAUUAUUGGGCGUAAAGCGCGCGCAGGCGGCCUUUUAAGUCUGAUGUGAAAUCUUGCGGCUCAACCGCAAGCGGCCAUUGGAAACUGGGAGGCUUGAGUACAGAAGAGGAGAGUGGAAUUCCA
RNAcentral lists this ribosomal RNA (585 nucleotides) under Bacillus sp. HRTK034. Its description in RNAcentral is "bacterial SSU rRNA". It matches the Rfam family "Bacterial small subunit ribosomal RNA", at positions 102 to 671 of the family's 1533-position model. The record is from RNAcentral. Lineage: Bacteria; Bacillati; Bacillota; Bacilli; Caryophanales; Bacillaceae.